Anguilla rostrata (American eel) is the source of this 772-nucleotide long non-coding RNA. RefSeq lists it as uncharacterized. The transcript has 2 exons. Lineage: Eukaryota; Metazoa; Chordata; Actinopteri; Anguilliformes; Anguillidae. The record is from RefSeq and is a predicted model, not a curated record.
UUGUUUUGUUUUAAAAAAAAAUCUGUCUAGUACAAGAUAAAGCAAAAUUCUUCAAUGGUAUUUGUACUGUUGAUGAUUUCCAAGUUCACUUCUGCUACAAAUAAAAUGAAAUGAUUAUUUUUCCAUUAUUAACACACACAAAUAGUAGAUCUUUAAAUAGUAAAUACAUAAAAACAUACAAGUAAAUAAUAUUUUGAAUCAUGUUUUUUGCACACAGAUUUAUAUGAAUUAUCAUACAAUAAUUUCAGAAUUUAACCAUUUCAUAAUCAUUCUGGCUGUGCUAGCCCUGGAGACUGAAUGAAGCUAAUACUUUCUCAUAUCUUGUGUUUGCUUUCAUAGUACCCCCACCAAAAGAGGAUCCAGAAGAUCUCACAACAAAGCUGGCCAGUGAAGAGAAAAACAUCUCGCUUAGGACCAGUGCAGAUGGCUGUGAUCGCAAAGGAAAGAGUGAGGAUUUUAUGUAAUGUAGGAAAAGGUCAUCCCAUGGUUUCUGAGAUGACUGUACUGUAUGUGUAUCCAGAACAUUGAUCUCUGACUACAUGGCUUACCUUUAGACUGCAUGCAUGUGCUUCAUUUCAUGAGCUUUCUUUUUUACUACUUACUACAUAGCUGUGAAAUUAUAAGGCAUUCAAGCCUUGAUAUGUUAGCCUUUAUUCUUCAAAUGUUCAGUUUGAUUUCAUCCUAAUUAUUUUUUGCUUUCAUUUUUGCCAUAUGUGUUAUAUUCUGUCAUAAUGACUGGAGAAAUUUAAUUAAAAUUCUAACCCGCAAGUAA